This is a long non-coding RNA of Bradysia coprophila, 544 nucleotides long. NCBI's taxonomy places the organism in Eukaryota, Metazoa, Arthropoda, Insecta, Diptera, Sciaridae. The record is from RefSeq and is a predicted model, not a curated record.
UAUGAUGCAGUACCUAAACCAUUGGUUUGCCAGGCUUUUGAUGCCGAACUUAUCCAUAACAUCACUUGCAUAACUAAACCAUUUAAUCAGACAACGGUUUUCCGAACCAUCGACAUAUAUUUUCAGCCGGGUGUUGUUAUAAAAACGUUUCAUAUGGAAAUUCAGUUGUUCCGAAAAUUGGGAGCCAACUACAAACCGUUCAUAUUCAAAACGGAUCAAGACAUGUGUAUGUUCAUCAAUGGGAUCAAUUCAAGGGAAGCAACAAUCCUGAAACAUUUCAUUGAUAUCGACACAAUCCGCAAAAGUGGAAAUUAUUACGAUCCUUGUCCACUAACGGGAAGAAGAUAUAUGAUGGAUGUUAAAAACGACUACAGCAAAUUGCCGGAUGUUGUUCAACGAGGAGAUUACCGGCUUAAUGCGUCCAGCUAUACGAUUAUUGAUGAUGUGAAACGAUAUCUAUUUUUAUUGCAAACGAAUGUUGAGGUUCGGACAAAACUUAAAAAGAAAACGAAAAAGUAGAAAUGGAUUUGGUAAGUCAAAUAUU